This 483-nucleotide ribosomal RNA is filed under the name uncultured bacterium. RNAcentral describes it as "bacterial SSU rRNA". It matches the Rfam family "Bacterial small subunit ribosomal RNA", at positions 36 to 518 of the family's 1533-position model. The record is from RNAcentral.
CUGGCGGCGUGCCUAACACAUGCAAGUCGAGCGGAGUCAGUAAGAGGAAGUUUCGGAUAGAAUCUGUUGAUUAGCGGCGGACGGGUGAGUAACGCGUGAGCGACCAACCUUGCACAGGGGGAUAACGGACCGAAAGGUUCACUAAUACCGCAUGAGACCACGGUGUUGCAUGACACAGAGGUCAAAGGAGCAAUCCGGUGCAAGACGGGCUCGCGUCCGAUUAGGUAGUUGGAGGGGUAACGGCCCACCAAGCCUAUGAUCGGUAGCCGACCUGAGAGGGUGAUCGGCCACAUUGGAACUGAGAUACGGUCCAAACUCCUACGGGAGGCAGCAGUGGGGAAUAUUGGGCAAUGGGGGGAAACCCUGACCCAGCAACGCCGCGUGAAGGAAGAAGGUUUUCGGAUUGUAAACUUCUGUCCUUGGUGAAGAGAAGAAGACGGUAGCCAAGGAGGAGGCCCCGGCUAACUACGUGCCAGCAGCCGC